Culex pipiens pallens (northern house mosquito) is the source of this 1200-nucleotide long non-coding RNA. RefSeq lists it as uncharacterized. Lineage: Eukaryota; Metazoa; Arthropoda; Insecta; Diptera; Culicidae. The record is from RefSeq and is a predicted model, not a curated record. The transcript has 3 exons.
CAAACCCAAAAUUUGUUUACAUUUUCUCCUGCACGACCGUGGGGUGUCGGCAGAGGUCGAGGGGAGGAGGAAGUUUUCGUUCGCAGUUUCUUCGGAGGAGCUGCUGCUGCUGAGCCGCCAUGGAAUAUCAACCCGGUUACGGUGAUAAACAUGCCAGAGUACGUGACGAGUCGGAUGGCGGGGAUUAUCCGGAACCGGCAGCAGCAGGUUAUCCGAAGCCAGGUUGGUCAAAAUAGUUUGUCUAACCGCAUUUCUCGGCGCAACUGAUCAAGCUGUGCUCGUUGGACCUCGCUCCGAAGAAAACCGCCACCAGUAGGUUCGGUCUGGACUGGGAUGAAAUCGCGCCUACGCCACAAGGAUGCAGCCGUACCUCCUCAUCAUCUGUGACGACAGCUCAGCUCGCUCAUCAUCCAGAAGCAAACGGCCUCGCUGGACAUGUUUGAUCGGGUCGCCGUCCUGCGAGUGGUUCGAGGUGCUAGUUUGAUCUGGCUGGUGGAAUAGUGUUGUCCAACGACGGAAAUGAAAUUCUGCGAGAGAUUACGGUCGAACAUCCGGCAGUGGAAAUUAUGCUUUAAAUUGCCCGCAUCCAGGACAAGGAGGAGGUUGAUUUUGUUAGCCGGAGAGAUGUUUAUCACGGCGGAGCAACUCCUAUAGCUGCUGAUUGAUCCGACCUCAGGGCCUACCAGUGGAAGCGUUGGAGCGUGGAUCGAACCGCCACCAGCAGGUUCGGUCUGGACUGGGAUGAAACCGCACCUACACCAGUAGAAUACAACCGUACCUCCUCAUCAUCUGGCACGAGAACUAAAUCUCCCCGCUGGCGCUGUUUCGGCAGGUCAAGGGCUAAGGCUACGGUCUGUCGCACGACUGCCCAAGCCUUGUCACGGACAGCUCGCUCAUCAUCCAGAAGCAAACGACCUCGCUGGACAUGUUUGAUCGAUGACCAACGACGGAAAUGAAAUUCUGCGGCACCCAGGGAGGGAGGGGACAAGAGGGUGAUUUUGUUAGCCGGAGAGAUAUUUAUCACGGCGGAGCAACUCCAACAGCUGCUGAUUGAUCCGACCGCAGGGACUACCAGUGGAAGCGUUGGAGGAUAUGAUUAAGCUGUUGCAGGAGAACGCUAGCGUUCCGUUGAACAAGGCCAAGCUGGUUGAGGUGGUCAAAUCUUGCAUUGGAACUGCAGAAAUUUUAUUUUCUGCACUU